This 484-nucleotide ribosomal RNA is filed under the name uncultured bacterium. RNAcentral's name for it is "partial 16S ribosomal RNA". It matches the Rfam family "Bacterial small subunit ribosomal RNA", at positions 30 to 507 of the family's 1533-position model. The record is from RNAcentral.
AUUGAACGCUGGCGGCAGGCCUAACACAUGCAAGUCGAGCGGAUGAAGGGAGCUUGCUCCUGGAUUCAGCGGCGGACGGGUGAGUAAUGCCUAGGAAUCUGCCUGGUAGUGGGGGAUAACGUCCGGAAACGGGCGCUAAUACCGCAUACGUCCUGAGGGAGAAAGUGGGGGAUCUUCGGACCUCACGCUAUCAGAUGAGCCUAGGUCGGAUUAGCUAGUUGGUGGGGUAAAGGCCUACCAAGGCGACGAUCCGUAACUGGUCUGAGAGGAUGAGCAGUCACACUGGAGCUGAGACAGGGUCCAGACUCCUACGGGAGGCAGCAGUGGGGAAUAUUGGACAAUGGGCGAAAGCCUGAUACAGCCACGCGGCGUGUGUGAAGAAGGUCUUCGGAUUGUAAAGCACUUUAAGUUGGGAGGAAGGGCAGUAAGUUAAUACCUUGCUGUUUUGACGUUAACAACAGAAUAAGCACCGGCUAACUUCGUG